GGGCUGUGGAUGAAUGCUACGCCGCCGGCUAUCUAGGCAAGAACAUUCUCGGCAGCCCGUAUUCGCUCGACAUUUUCCUGCACCGCGGCGCGGGCGCCUAUAUCUGCGGUGAAGAGACGGGUUUGAUCGAGAGCCUGGAAGGAAAGCGCGCCUGGCCGCGGAUCAAGCCGCCGUUUCCCGCCGUCGAAGGCGCGUUUCGCAAACCGACGGUCGUCAACAAUGUUGAAACGGUCGCCUGCGUGCGGCACAUCCUGGAGCGCGGCGCCGAUUGGUUUAAAUCGAUGGGCGUGCCCCCCGAUCCGAGCAACCCACGCGACGCCGGCAGCUACGGGCCCAAACUCUACUGCUUGUCAGG
RNAcentral lists this unclassified non-coding RNA (355 nucleotides) under uncultured fungus. Its description in RNAcentral is "sequence contains ITS1". Lineage: Eukaryota; Fungi. The record is from RNAcentral.